AUACGGAGGGUGCAAGCGUUACUCGGAAUCACUGGGCGUAAAGCGCGCGCAGGCGGGCUGAUAAGUUGGAUGUGAAAGCCUACGGCUCAACCGUAGAACUGCAUCCAAAACUGUCAGUCUAGAGUGUGGGAGAGGAAGAUGGAAUUAGUUGUGUAGGGGUAAAAUCCGUAGAGAUAACUAGGAAUACCAAAAGCGAAGGCAAUCGUCUGGAACACUACUGACGCUGAGGCGCGAAGGCGUGGGGAGCAAACAGGAUUAGAAACCCCGGUAGUCC
This 274-nucleotide ribosomal RNA is filed under the name uncultured bacterium. Its description in RNAcentral is "partial 16S ribosomal RNA". It matches the Rfam family "Bacterial small subunit ribosomal RNA", at positions 523 to 796 of the family's 1533-position model. The record is from RNAcentral.